Molecule: ribosomal RNA, 243 nt
Filed under: Pseudoduganella buxea
Lineage: Bacteria; Pseudomonadati; Pseudomonadota; Betaproteobacteria; Burkholderiales; Oxalobacteraceae
Description: partial 23S ribosomal RNA
Rfam family: Bacterial large subunit ribosomal RNA
Source: RNAcentral
CCUCUGGUGUACCGGUUGUCACGCCAGUGGCAUUGCCGGGUAGCUAAGUUCGGAAGAGAUAACCGCUGAAAGCAUCUAAGCGGGAAACUUGCCUUAAGAUGAGAUUUCCCAGAGCCUUGAGCUCUUUAAAGGGUCGUUCGAGACCAGGACGUUGAUAGGUCAGGUGUGGAAGUGCAGUAAUGCAUUAAGCUAACUGAUACUAAUUGCCCGUAAGGCUUGUCCCUAUAACCUUGACGGUUAUAU